RNAcentral lists this ribosomal RNA (1236 nucleotides) under metagenome. RNAcentral describes it as "bacterial LSU rRNA". It matches the Rfam family "Bacterial large subunit ribosomal RNA", at positions 1564 to 2810 of the family's 2925-position model. The record is from RNAcentral.
UGAAUACGAGACGCUAAGGCGUCGAAGUAGUGUAUGUCAUACUUCCAAGAAAAGCUUGCACUGUCAUAGAUAAAAAACGCCUGUACCAUAACCGACACAGGUGGGUAGGUAGAGUAUACUAAGGGGCGCGAGAUAACUCUCUCUAAGGAACUCGGCAAAAUAACUCCGUAACUUCGGGAGAAGGAGUGCCUUAUUCGUAAGGUUGCAAUAACAAGAUCCAAGCAACUGUUUAUCAAAAACACAGGUCUCCGCUAAGUCGUAAGACGAUGUAUGGGGGCUGACGCCUGCCCAGUGCCAGAAGGUUAAAGAAGUUGGUUAGCAAUUGCGAAGCUGAUAACUGAAGCCCUGGUGAACGGCGGCCGUAACUAUAACGGUCCUAAGGUAGCGAAAUUCCUUGUCGGGUAAGUUCCGACCCGCACGAAAGGCGUAAUGAUUUGGAUACUGUCUCGGAGAGGGGCUCGGUGAAAUAGACUUGUCUGUGAAGAUGCGGACUACCUGCACCAGGACAGAAAGACCCUAUGAAGCUUUACUGUAACUUGAAAUUGAAAUUGGACUUUAUUCGCGCAGUAUAGGUGGGAGGCGUUGAUUAUAAUCUUGUGGGAUUAUUGGAGCCAUCAGUGAGAUACCACUCUUGAAAUGUUAGAUUUCUAACUUUGAAUCAUUAUCUGGUCAAAGAACAGUUUCAGGCGGGCAGUUUGACUGGGGCGGUCGCCUCCUAAACGGUAACGGAGGCGUACAAAGGUUUCCUCUGAACGGUUAGAAAUCGUAUCUAGAGUGUAAGGGCAUAAGGAAGCUUGACUGUGAGACCUACAAGUCGAGCAGGGACGAAAGUCGGUCUUAGUGAUCUGACGGUACUGAGUGGAAAGGCCGUCACUCAACGGAUAAAAGUUACUCUAGGAUAACAGGCUGAUCUCCCCCAAGAGUUCACAUCGACGGGGAGGUUUGGCACCUCGAUGUCGGCUCAUCGCAUCCUGGGGCGGUAGUACGUCCCAAGGGUUGGGCUGUUCGCCCAUGAAAGCGGUACGCGAGCUGGGUUCAGAACGUCGUGAGACAGUUCGGUCCAUAUCCGGUGUAGGCGUUAGAAUAUUGAGAGGAGCCUUCUUUGGUACGAGAGGACCGAGAAGGACAUACCUCUGGUGUACCAGUUAUCGUGCCAACGGUAAACGCUGGGUAGCUAUGUAUGGAGUGGAUAACCGCUGAAAGCAUCUAAGUGGGAAGCCCACCUCAAGAUAAGUA